RNAcentral lists this unclassified non-coding RNA (21 nucleotides) under Chlamydomonas reinhardtii. RNAcentral's name for it is "small RNA Cre_3904". Lineage: Eukaryota; Viridiplantae; Chlorophyta; Chlorophyceae; Chlamydomonadales; Chlamydomonadaceae. The record is from RNAcentral.
UUGAGGACGCGGUGCUUGCGG